AUGGCUGGGAUCACCAGCACCUUCCCCUUCAAACUCAUCCACAGCACAACCUCCUCAACCUCACCCUAUCUUCUCUCUCCUCUCUCUUCCUCUGAUUCUAAACUUUUCGGCUUUCGACUUUCCAAUCCCAAUUCCCUCAAGCUCGAUCCUCCGGUUUCUAUCUCCUUCGCUCCCGUCACUGCCCGUUAUGGCGGCGGCGAUUCCAGGAGGUACCGGAACAACUCCGACGACGAGCAAGUCCUCGAUUUGGAUAAUAUUAGGUCAGACACUGUGAGGCUUAUUGAUGAGAAUCAAAAUAUGAUUGGUGUAGUUUCCACGAGUCAGGCCAUUCAAAUGGCUGAAGAUGCCGAACUUGACUUGGUAAUAGUAUCCCCAGAUGCAGAUCCCCCGGUCGUUAGAAUAAUAGAUUUCAAUAAAUAUAGAUAUGAGCAACAAAAGAAAAAAAGAGGCCAGCAGAAGAAAAGUGCCGCUAAUCGAAUGGAUUUGAAGGAGCUCAAGAUGGGAUACAACAUAGAUCAACAUGAUUAUUCUGUCCGCUUGAAAGCUGCACAGAAGUUUUUGAAAGAUGGUGACAAGGUUAAGGUCAUAGUAAACCUCAAGGGCCGUGAAAAUGAAUUUAGGAACAUUGCUAUUGAGCUUAUUAGGCGCUUCCAGAAUGAUGUUGGGGAGCUCGCAGCAGAGGAAUCUAAAAACUUCCGUGACAGAAACAUAUUCAUAGUUUUGGUUCCAAAUAAAGCUGUUCUACAAAAAGCACAAGAACCACCCAAGAAAAAAGACAAAUCAGCAGCAGAUGAAGUCUCUGCUAGUGUCCAAGCCUAGCUGAAAACAAGUGAACUUCUUGUGGUAGAAUAGGUUGUGGGUAACUUAUAUUCUUCUUCUAGGCUGGGCUCUCUCAUCUCCUUACCCAGUAUGAAAUUUCAAGUUGCUGAAAGGGUCCCACUAACCAAGCUUUUGUCAAAACGGUCACACGUGGCUAAUAGGUGCUGUAUCUUCAAAAACUCCCUAACUACAGCUCACCGAUGCAAUUAGCUUUUUCUUGGAAGUUUGCUUGCAAAGUCUAGAAUCAUAUUGGGAAAAUUAAACUAAACGUGAAAAUUUCUAGUGUCUUUUUUUUUUAAUAAUUAUUUGGUAUUUAAUGCUACCGAUGGACUAAUCCAUAUUUGAGAAAUAUUGGGUUCAAAUGGAGGUAAUUUUUUUUUAACAUGGUUUUUUCCAUUUAUAAGGUUUGGAUUCUUAAUCUUGUAUGAAAGAUGUUGAAGCGUUGGCCCAAAAAAAUGAGAGAGGUUGAAGCCCUCUCAAGUCGUCAUUGUUUCUGAAGGUUUUUAGUUUUUACUAUCA
RNA transcript from Prosopis cineraria, 1338 nucleotides. It is a transcript of the gene named translation initiation factor IF3-4, chloroplastic, with no coding region annotated. The record is from RefSeq and is a predicted model, not a curated record. The transcript is spliced from 10 exons. Lineage: Eukaryota; Viridiplantae; Streptophyta; Magnoliopsida; Fabales; Fabaceae.